RNAcentral lists this ribosomal RNA (549 nucleotides) under uncultured bacterium. RNAcentral describes it as "bacterial SSU rRNA". It matches the Rfam family "Bacterial small subunit ribosomal RNA", at positions 355 to 896 of the family's 1533-position model. The record is from RNAcentral.
UAGGGAAUCUUCCGCAAUGGGCGAAAGCCUGACGGAGCAACGCCGCGUGAGUGAAGAAGGAUUUCGGUUCGUAAAGCUCUGUUGUUAGGGAAGAAUGAUUGUGUAGUAACUAUACACAGUAGAGACGGUACCUAACCAGAAAGCCACGGCUAACUACNNNGCCAGCAGCCGCGGUAAUACGUAGGUGGCAAGCGUUGUCCGGAAUUAUUGGGCGUAAAGCGCGCGCAGGUGGUUUAAUAAGUCUGAUGUGAAAGCCCACGGCUCAACCGUGGAGGGUCAUUGGAAACUGUUAAACUUGAGUGCAGGAGAGAAAAGUGGAAUUCCUAGUGUAGCGGUGAAAUGCGUAGAGAUUAGGAGGAACACUAGUGGCGAAGGCGGCUUUUUGGCCUGUAACUGACACUGAGGCGCGAAAGCGUGGGGAGCAAACAGGAUUAGAUACCCUGGUAGUCCACGCCGUAAACGAUGAGUGCUAAGUGUUGGUCUCAUAAGAGAUCAGUGCUGCAGCUAACGCAUUAAGCACUCCGCCUGGGGAGUACGACCGCAAGGUUG